RNAcentral lists this long non-coding RNA (21875 nucleotides) under Triticum aestivum (bread wheat). RNAcentral's name for it is "long non-coding RNA (TAES_LNC014264)". The record is from RNAcentral. Lineage: Eukaryota; Viridiplantae; Streptophyta; Magnoliopsida; Poales; Poaceae.
AAAAUAUAAGUAAGUUGAAUAGCCUUAGGGAUACAAUCGACGGCAAUUUGAUUGGUCGAGAAUCAGCUCUUGGUCAAAUGACGUCCAAGUCGGAAGGAUGAAUUCGAUGAUUCGACUGAGGAUUGCGAGCAUCCGCAACAUAUUGAAUCAACGGACUCAAAAGGAUAGUGACAGAGGAGGCCAAUAAGCUUACUAGACUUAUGGGAUUAAUCAUAAUGCAAGCAAGCAAGAAUUUCAAGGAUAAUAGGCUGUUGAGGAUUUUUGGAAGAUCGAACGGUAUUUUGAAGACUUUUGUGAAAUACAUUAAUCAACUGGGGAUGAGAGGAUACUCGAUAAGUGUGAGGAAUUAUCCGUACGGAUAUUCAGGUGACAAAGAACUGCAAGGCAGUAGGCACAAAGUAUUCUCGGAACAAUCGGGAGGAUUUCCGGGUAUCUUGUAGUAACAAGAGAAAUUGGGGAUGAAUGUAAGAAUGGCAAGUGUAUGUAGUUAUCCAUAGGGGUUGACGGUGGAAGGGACUUGCAAACGCGAUGAGGACAAGAUAUUGGGAUAACAUGGGAGAGUAUCUUCAGGGUCUUCUGAUGAAUCAAGCCAUCAUAUGGAAUGAAGGGGCUCUCCAGGAGGAAGUGGUUACGAGAUCCUAGAGUCAGAGUUAGUAAAAUCUUUAACCCGAAUAGAUGAGAGAUCAGAGUCCCAGAGUAUAGACGAGGAAUAAAAAGAUCCUAAUACCACCCAAUGGUGACGUGGGCCCGUAAGACACACAACCAUGUUAGUAAAAGUUUUUCAUUGACUAGACUCAACUUCGGCCAAGGAGUUGGAAAGGGGGAUACCUACAGGCAGCUGGCUCUGAUACUAACUUGUGACGCCCCCGAUUCAAUCGUACACUAAUCAUACAUGCAAAUGUGUACGAUCAAGAUCAGGGACUCACGGGAAGAUAUCCCAACACAACUCUAGACACAAAUCAAAAUAAUACAAGCUUUAUAUUACAGGCCAGGGGCCUCGAGGGCUCGAAUACAAAUGAGUCAGCGGAAGCAACAAUAUCUGAGUACAGACAUAAGUUAGACAAGUUUGCCUUAAGAAGGCUAGCACAAAAGCAACAACGAUCGAAAAGGCAAGGCCUCCUGCCUGGGAGCCUCCUAACUACUCCUGGUCAUCGGCGGCCUCACGUAGUAGUAGGCACCCUCAGUGUAGUAGUAAUCGUCGGUGGUGUCAUCAGGCUCCUGAGCUCCACCAUCUGGUUGCGACAUCCGGAAAUAAUAGAAAAGAGAAAAAAGAGGGAGCAAAGCAACCAUGAGUACUCAUCCAAAGUACUCGCAAGCAAGGAUCUACACUACAUAUGCAUCGAUGUCAAUGAAAUGGGUUGUAUCUGUGGACUAGACUGUAGAAUGCCAGAAGAGAAGGGGAAAGCCUAGCCUAUCGAAGACUAGCAUCUUCAAGCAUCUUGCAACAUUUAGAAGAGUACAGAUCAACAUAAUGUAAAGUAGUAGUAGUGUUAUCAACCUCAGCCAGAGAUCCUUUCUCGACUCCUGGCGAGAAAGCAAUCCCAGAGCCAUACUAUCCAUUUCUCAUCACAAGUAUCCAGUUCUAGUUGUAUCGAUCGGGAUACAACUCCAAGUGUCUGUUACCAUAGGACAGGCUAUCGAUAGAUGUUUUCUUCCCUGCAAGGGUGCACCAACUUACCCACCAUGCUCGAUUAACUCCGGUCGGACACACUUUACUGGGUCAUGCCUGGCCUCGGCCAAACAAUAUGCCGCAACGUGACCUAGGCUUAAUAGAGAGGUCAGCACGCCGGACUAAACCUAUGCCCCCAGGGGUCAUGGGCCAUCGCCCCGGGAACUACUGCACAUUGCGAGGGCGGCCGGUGAGCAGACCUAGCUACCUCCUUAAAGAAGGCAGGUGCUUACGCAGUCCAACCCGGCGCGCGCCGCUCAGUCGCUAACGUCUAUUAAGCUUUGGCUGAUGUAUACGACGCAGAACUCCCAUACUAUGCCCACAUGAUGGUUAGUGCUAUCAGGCUAGAGGCCCCUCGGAUCAAAUAUCCAAACCGUUAGUGUGUUGGUAGUGCGGUCACGAGCAGAGACUCGCGAAAGAUGUGACGCCGUCGCCCCGUCUUGAGGACUUGUGGCAAGGGCUAAGAAUGCCCGGCCACGCCUCAUAGUUAUCUCACGGGCACUCUCCGGGCCAACCCGACUCCUCAUCACUCGCAAUUAAGCUCGCGCGGGUUCCCCUCAGGGCCGACCCGUCUUUAGUAACAAGGUUCAGUGUAAAUUCAUAGUAACCAUAGUAAUUGUGUGUCUAACACCAAGGGGAACCCUAAGGAACCACCCUCGAUGGAUUCCACUCGAUGUAAUCAUCAAGGUGAACGUAAGAGGAACCACCCUCGAGGUUUACUCUUGAGGGGUUGCACGAUAGCGUCAUAUCGGAAGUGGUUAAGGAGGAAAUCACCCUUGAUGACCACGACCGAACAGCUACACUACAGAGAUCUCAUUAGGAGUGAUGUAUGAGGUGUCACCCUCUACACUCGAUAGUAACUCUGCAGAGUCGUACAACUAGGGGAGUGAUGUGCGAUGUCGGGGCCUGGACGUCAAUCACAUUGAUCGAGUCAUCGAACAUAAAGCGGGGCAACUGGGACAAGGUGAGGGUCACUGAUGGAUCACUAACCAACCUAUACUAAGCAGUUUAGGGUAAGCACGUAAGGUACAAUGAGCAUGUUACAAAAGCAAGCUAUGCAUCAGAAUAGGAGCAAACAAUAUCAGUAGCAAAAUCUAAUGCACGCAUGAGAGAAUGGAAUGGGCGAUAUCAGGAUGAUCAAAGGGGGGCUUGCCUAGUUGCUCAGACAAGAAGGAGGGUCGUCGAUGACGUAGUCGAACACAGGGCAGCAUCGGCGGCAGUCUCGAAGUCUACCGGAGAGAGGAGAGGGAGGCAACUAUAAAUAUAAGCAAAUAGAUGAAUCACUAAGCAUAAUAUAGUAAUAUGGUGUGCCGGGUGUGACCUAACGUAUGGAUACACUAUAUGGGUGAAGGGGCAUUGCAACCGGGAAUGCUUUCCCAGUUCCGGACAUGUGUUAGACAGAUGACUGGAGGGGGAAUAUUGCAUGUUCGCUAUGCUAGGGAUGUGUGGCAGGCGAACGGACCGCGUAUUCAGAUUCAUCUCAUCGUUCUGAGCAACUUUCAUAUAGAAAACUUUUUCAUCCGAGUUACGGAUUAUUUUCUAUGAUUUAUCAAAUUUUUAAACAUUUUCGGGAAUUAUCUAAAUUAACAGAAAUGGAAUUAUGACGUCAGUGUUACAUCAUUGUGACAUCAGCAGUCAACAGGACGGCUGACCAGGUCAAACUGACCAGUGGGUCCCACCUGUCAUAGACAGUGGACUAAUAGAAGUUUAAACUAACUAAAAUGAGGUUAAUUAACAGCUGGGCCCUACAUGUCAGUGACUAUUUAGUUUAACUAAUUGUUUUUACUUAGGAAAAUGUUUUAAUUAGGUUAGUUAUGCGGUGGGGCCCGCGUGUCAGUGGCACUAUGCUGCCAUGUCAGCUAGUUGACCGGUCAACGUGGUCAACUGGGGCCCCUGGGCUCACUUGCCAGCGACCCAGGGAGUGGCCCUGUCCAACCACAUCAGCGGCGACCGGCGACGAGCCACCGGCGACCUCCAGACGCGGAGGAGGACCACGGGGGCGGUCGGAUUCGUGCUAGGGACGACCAAAGCGCACGGUUUUGGGCGUGUUAGAACGGGACGACCUAGACGCGUCCAACCGCGAUGGUGGCAAGGGCUGGCGUGGCCGGAAACGGGCGCGACGGCGGCGGUAGGCGGCGGCGCUCUCGAUCGAUCUUCGGAAUCAGUGAAACGGCGCGCGCGAGCAAUCUAAGAGGCCUGGCCGCACCACAGAAGUGCCCUGAGCACGGCGGUGGGCUCGGGUGACCACGAGAGCUACCACAGCGCUGGCGACGAGUUUAACAACGGAGAAAAGCUCCGGCAAUGGCACAGCAGCGUCGACCGCAAGCUAUGGCGAAAAGCAGGCGGCCAGAGGGAGAGGAAGAGAGGGGAAUGCUCACCGAGCGGCUAAGAAAAGCCCUCGACGGGUUAGGAGCAACAGAGCAGAGAGGAUCGGCGGCGGCGGUGUGUCGGGAUCCGAGGAGGAAGAAGGCGGUUUGCCGGUGAUGCAGGGCUCCUCGGCUCCUUCCAGCGGCUCCAGAGGAUGCGGCAUUCCACGGCGAUGCCGACGAGCACGGCCAGGACGCAUAGAAGGCACAGUGGCCGCGGAGAUGAUGAAGACGCGACGGCGAUGGCGCUCGGAGGUGGAUGGGGAACGAGGGGGAGAGGCAACGCACAGGCAGAGAGGGCGAGGGGAUUCUGGGAGUGGGUGGAGGUAGGUGGGGGAGGACUCGAGGAGCCGGAGGGGAGGCGCGGGGCCUUAUCCCCUCGCCUAAGCCGGCAAGGUGGUCCGGCGGCGAUGCGCGAGCGCACGCCCUUGGUCGAUUGAACAAGGGGAGGAGGACAGGACCGGGGAGAGGUAGGUGGGCCGGCCUGCUGGGAUGGGCCGAAGCCUAAGGGGAGGCCAGGGGCUUUCUCUCCCUCUUUUGCUUUCCCCCUUUUUUGCUAUUUCUUUUUACAGAAAAAAGCUUUGCAAUAUUUGAGCUCCCCAAAAGGAUUCUAUAAAAUGUGGGACUUGGGCACAUAAUUACAUUGCACUAGUUGGCACUGCUAAAAAAGAUUGUGAGGCUUUUGAAAUAGUUUGCCACUUUUAUAAUUUAAAAAGGCAUUUAAUCUAUUUAUUUUAGACAUUUUUUAACCAAUUUAGGGCACUUAGACAUUUUGCAAAAUGUUGCUUCACCACCAAUAUUUGUUAUGAAUUAUUUGGCACAAGAUGAACAUUUUAGAUUUCAUGUCUGAGCAAUUUGGAUUUUUGACUUUAGAUUUGAUUUGAAUUUGCAUUGUGAUUUGGAUCAAGUGAAGAUUAACAACAGUAACAUGACGACAUGGCACCAUUAACAGAGGAUUACUAUAGCAUGACACUGGGGGUGUUACAUCAUCCAAACAGUGUGUGCAUGCACGGUAUCCCUUAUUGUAUUUCCUAAAAGGUUACUGAGAGCAGGCCAAUCAUUGAUGGUGACGAACAACAACGCCUUUAGGUCAAAUUCUCUCCCCAUGUGCUCAUCCCACGCACGUACACCUUUUCCAUUCCAUAGUUGUAAGAGUUCUUCAACUAAUGCCCUUAGGUACACAUCAAUGUCGUUGCCGGGUUGCUUAGGGUCUUGGAUGAGCACUGGCAUCAUAAUGAACUUCCGCUUCAUGCACAACCAAGGAGGAAGGUUAUACAUACAUAGAGUCACAGGCCACGUGCUAUGGUUGCUGCUCUGCUCCCCAAAAGGAUUAAUGCCAUCUGCGCUUAGACCAAACCAUACGUUCCCUGCGUCACCUACAAAGUCCUCCCUGUACUUUCUCUCGAUUUUUCUCCACUGUGACCCGUCAGCGGGAACUCUCAACUUCCCGUCUUUCUUACGGUCUUCUCUGUGCCAUCGCAUCGCCUCGGCAUGCUCUUUGUUUAGGAACAAACGUUUCAACCGUGGUAUUAUAGGAGCAUACCACAUCACCUUGGCAGGAAUCUUCUUCCUGGGGCGGUCGCCCUAGACAUCACCAGGGUCAUCGUGGAUGAUCUUAUAGCGUAAUGCACCGCAUACCGGGCACGCGUUCAAAUCUACGUACUCACCGCGGUAGCGGAUGCAGUCAUUAGGGCAUGCAUGUAUCUUCUACACCUCUAACCCUAGAGGGCGGACAACCUUCUUUGCUUCGUACGUACUCUCGGGCAAUUCGUUUUCCUUUGGAAGCAUCUUCUUUAACAUUACCAACAAUUUUCCAAAUCCCUUGUCAGAUACACCAUUCUCUACCUUCCAUUGCAGCAAUUCCACUAUGGUGCCCACCUUUUUCAUGUCAGCUUCGCAAUUCGGGUACAACAAUUUCUUGUGAUCCUCUAACAUGCGCUUCAACUUCUUCUUCUCCUUUUCACUCGCGCAGUUUCUCUCUGCAUCGGCAAUGGCCCGAUAUAGAUCAUCAGUUGGCUCAUCUGAUGCCUCUUCUUCAGCUUCUUCCUGCAUUGUCGGCUCAGAUUCUUCCCACAUUACCGGCUCAGCUUCUUCCCUCAUUGUUGUAUCAUCGUAUUCAGGGAACCCAUGGGCAGGAUAGCUAUCGUCGUCCUCUUCUUCUUCAUUGUCUUCCAUCAUAACCCCUCUUUCUCCGUGCUUGGUCCAAACAUUAUAGUGGGGCAUGAAAUCGGACUUAAACAGGUGGACGUGAAUGGUUUUUAACUUAGAGUAAUUUUGACCGUUCUUACAGCCAGCACAUGGACAAGGCAUAAAACCAUCCGCCCAGUUGUUUGCCUCAGCCGCAAGCAGAAAAGUAUGCACACCAUCAACGAAAUGGGGAGAGCAUCGGUCAUCGUACAUCCAUUGCCGGCUCAUCUUCAUUACACAGCACCGAAAAGACCAAAUUAAUACAAGUUCAUACAUAAAGUUCAUACAACACUUAUUCUCAUAAAACAAACAUACAAAUAACUCUCAGCUAAAGCAUUUAAAUGCAACAACAAAUGCGAUCAAGAUAGAAACUAAGGUAACAAUUGAUCCAACAGCAUAAUGAUACCAAUCCUGACUAUCAAUGGCAUAUUUUCUAAUCUUUCUAAUCUUCAAGCGCAUUUUCUCCAUCUUGAUCUUGUGAUCAUCGACAACAUGCAACUCCAAUUCCAUCUUCUCCCCCUCAAUUCUUUUCAAUUUUUCUUUCAAAUACUCGUUUUCUCUUUCAACUAAAUUUAACCUCUCGACAAUAGGGUCGGUUGGAAUUUCUGGUUCACAUACCUCCUGGAUAAAAAUAUCUGUCAACUUGAUGGGCAUAAUUUGUCAUAAACACGAAAUGCAACAAAUAGUUAUAAAAGAAAAUAUACCACAUCCGGAUCAUAACCCGGACGAGGGCCGACGGGGACAGAUAUCGAAACCAUGGCACUAUGAAUAACAAACAACGUAUGGGUAAGAUAAUUAUACAAGUAACUAUAUAUCUAAAUCACACAAACUUGAUUUUUUAUAUAAAAAAGAUAAGAACAAGAGGCUCACCACAAGGUGGUGCGGCGACGGGACGGUGCGGACGAUCGACGGUGGUUAGGACGGAGACGGGAGGCACUAAGUAAACCACACCUACAUAUGCAAACUAAGACUUAUUUUGAGCUCAAAUUGCAUAUAAAUCAAAUAAACUACCAUAUAUAAUUCCUCCCAAAUUACUAAAACCCACAAAUUAAUCACUAUAUAAAGCAUUGCAAGAGCUAAUCUAGCAAUGAGAGAUGAAAGAACAAAGUUGAUUACCUUUGUGAUCACUUGAAUGGAUGGGGGCCUUCAAAUCUUGACGAAAUUCGAACAAAAUGUGUGAUGAACUCGAGGGGAAGAGGGGAAGAACAGAGAGGAGAGGGGAAAGGAGGGAACAGAGCGAGCUCGGGUGGACGAAGGGUUUAUAUAGGACGACCUUUAGUACCGAUUCGUGCCACGAACCGGUACUAAAGGUGCUGGAGGGGCCCCAGUCUGACAACAUCCUACCACCACUCUCUUUAGCACCGGUUCGUGGCACGAACAGGUGCUAAAGGUUUGCAGCGAACCGGUACUAAUGAGAGUGGCCCGCCUAGUCGUUAGAACCGGCACUAAUGAGUUGAACAUUAGGCCAUUUUUCUACUAAUGUGAAUAAUAAACAUUUAUCAUGAUAUAAAAAAAUAUAAAUAACAUCUUUAUUAUUGCCUCAUAUUUCCUUUAGGUCGGUGGGAGAGAUGGCAUGCACGGUGAUCUUGUGGUUAACCAUCACAGCGAGGCCAUUGGGAAGAUAAAUCACCUUAUCCGGGUGGUGCUCGUUGUUGGCGGAGGAGAUGCAAGCGAUCGGUCCAUCCCUGUCCAGAAGUUUAAUAAAGUAUGUAAAAUUACAGUAUAAUUAGCUAUUUUUGAGAAAAAAUAUCUAGUGAUACCAAUUUUAUGUCACAUGAAUCGCGUAUUAACAAAGUGGUACUAAGUGAAAGACUUGAAUUAAUGAAACAAAACACGCCUUAUGUUAAAACUAAUUAAUUUGUUACAUGUUUCUAUGUUUUGCAACAACGUGUAAAUUGGUUGAAUUUACAGGUCCAUAUGUAUGACAUGGACAACGGAAGCAGGGGCAUUGCCGUAAUUAUUUAUUGGGUUUAUUGGGUUUUGAACCCUGAACCUCUUGGUUGCAAGUUUAUACACCUAACCAAUCCACCCAUAAGCUGAAGCUGAUGAGAAAAGAUGGGUGACGCAUUUGCACGUCAACACUCCCUCUCACGGGUGGCUCACUCGGGUCUAAACAUGGACUGAAAGUGAGCUGCAAAUUGAUUGCGCUAGCCAGAUUUUGAACUCAAGACCUCUUAACUCCGAUACCAUGUAGAACUGCACGCACCAUCCGGUUCAUUAAAAGCUCAAGCUAUGGGUAGGAGAGGGUCGAACAUUAUACUCCAACACCUUCUAGUGGGAAUGUGUGUUCUAUAUUUCUAUUGACACUAUUUAUAGCUCUAGUUUGCCACCAGUACUGCUUAAUUUCUGCAACCUGUUAAAUUUAUUAUGUACUUCUAUCUAGUAUAUACUUAAAACAAGAGUCAAAUUAGCCAUCACGUUCGUCCACAUGUGCUAAUAUUUUUUUAGUUGUUUGAUUAGAAUAAUAACGGCUAAGAUUUAAAGGUUUUUGCAUAACAUCGUAAAAUAUAGAAACCGCUAUUAUUGAACCUUAAUGGUGUCGCGUUACAUAGGAUAGAAAAAAAAAGCAAUACGACGGACCGUGGCAAGAUGUCACGUUACAUAGGAUAGCAAAAAAGAAAGGACGUGUCUACCGAGCGGCUGGGCGCUCGAUAGGAAUCCGUGGCGGCCUCUCCAUUUUUAGUAUGUUUUUGUCUUAAUCAAACAAAUUAGGAAUUAUUUUGUCCUCCUAGCCAGAAAAAGACAAAGACUACACGACAUGUUUAACCAGAAUUGCAAAAGCACACACACGAACAUGUGUGAACGCAUUUAAUUCAGAUUUAAAUUUUUUAGAAAAGCCAUAACUUUUGAACGAAAAGUCGAAAUUAAGAUCUGCUUUCACUGCUGAAAUCCUCGCGAUGUGCUCUUCGAAACUAGAUCCCACAUGAAUAUGUUUCGAUAAACUUUUUUUUGUGCAAUUUUGUCCCCGUUUUGUGCAACUGGCUAGUUGUUGAUGUGCAACUACCUAAUAGUCGAUGUGCAACUUUUUCUUUAUUCAUGGAUGUGCAGUUUUCAAUGAUGACACCUCACCUCAAACUACCCACUAUCAAGUGAGAUGUGCAACUAUGUCUGCUGUCCCCAGCCAACCGCUUAGUAGUCGAUGUGCAACUUUUCUCCUCUAGUUGGAAGUGCAAUUUUUACUGUUUGCUACCUCGGCCAACUGCCAAGCAGUGGAUGUGCAACUUCGAAAACUGUCCUCCCAGCCAACUACCUAACGGUUGAUGUGCAUGUGUAACUUUCCUCAUAUCCGUGGAUGUGUAGUUUUCAUUGCUAGCACCCCUUUCCAUCCAACCCAGCUAGUGAGAUGUGCAUCUUGAGGGUCUCACCUGUAAACAUUAAUGUGUGUGUAACUAGACUACAUUACCACGCCAACUGAGUAUAUGUGUGUAACUAGUCCUGCCAACUAAACAUCAAUGUGUGUGCAACGAGACUACAUUGUCACGCCAACUAAGCAUAUGUGUGUGCCAAUAGUUUUGCCAACUAAAUAUCAAUGUGUGUGCAACUAGACUACAUUGCCAUGCCAACUGAGUAUAUGUGUGUGUAACUAGUCCUGCCAAUUAAACAUCAAUGUGUGUGCGACUAGACUACAUUACAAGUCAACUGAGCAUUUGUGUGUGCAACUAGUUUUCCUACCAACUAAACAUUAUUGUGUGUGCAAGUAGACUGCAUUACAAGCCAACAAACAUCAUCGUGUGUGCAAUUAGUUCUCCUGCCAACUGAACAUCAAUAUGUUCUAUUGCAACAGGGGAAAUAUGUUCUAUAGGAUGUUCUAUAUACUAAAAGUGAAAUAGAAAAGGAGAUGAAAUUCUAUUUCCUGUCAUCCGAAAACGGUGCCAAAGGUGAUCACAUUCUGACGUGAUCACCUGAGUUUUUGCAAACAAAAGGUGCCAAAGGUGAUUAGUUAACACUGCAUAAAAAAUAUAUUUGUUGUCCUUUAAAAAACCGGAUAAAAUAUGUUGAUGAUGCCAACUUGAUAUUAUGUUAGUUGUGCAACUACAAAAUGCAGAGGAUGCCAACUAAAAUAGUUACUCUUGUGCAACUAGAAAGACUGAGGAUGUCAACUAGUUAGAUGCUAUUGUGUAACUAGAAAAUGCUCAGGAUGCCAACUAAUUAAAUACUCCUGUGCAACUAGAAAUGUUGAGGAUGCCAACUAAUUGAAUACUCUUGUGCAACUAUAAAUCUUGAGGAUGCCAAUUAAUUAGAUACUCUUGGGAAAAGAUAUAUUCAGCACUUGCAUGACCCAUCAAAAAAUUGCACAUUCAGGUUUCAGGCUUCUAGAAGAAGAGGGUGUCAACGCAGCUACAAAAAGACUAAGGAUGCAACUAGUUGGAUGGUAUUGUGCAACUAGAAAUGUUGAGGAUGCCAACUAAUCAGGUACUCUUGUGCAACUAGAAAAAGCCUGAGGAUGCCAGCUCAUUUAUAUACUCUCUAGGACACAUCAUCAUCCUCUCCAUCCCCGUCAUUAUCAGCGCCAUGUGGUUGCCGCUUCACCGCCCAUUUUGAGUUCCGCCGAGAGGUCCUAUUUGGAGAACCCUACAAUGAACAAAAAAUAUUGAACUACUCAGAGGGUAAAAGAAAGGAGCAUAAAAUAAAUGGCCAUAGGAUAAAAAGAAAAAGAAAAUAUGAACCUCUGUUUCACUACCAGGCACAUUUCCUAUGGUUGCACAGUAAUGUAUCCCUAGUUGCGCAGGAUCCCAGGCCCUAGUUGCACAGAACUAAAAUAAAAUUAUUUGCCUAGUUUGCUUACAAAUUUGGCUAGAAGAUAUGAUAGAUUGCACAGGAAGGCUCCCCAAGUUGCACAGAACUGACACCAAAAACUGAUAUACAGAUAAUGAAAAUUAUUUGCCUAGUUUCCUUACAAAUUGGGCUACAAAGAUAUGAUAGAUUGUGAAGGAACCCCUAGUUGCACAGAACUAACACCAAAAAAUGAUAUACAGAAAACAAAAUUUACUUUGCCUAGUUUGCUUACAAAAUUUGGCUACCAGAUGUAAUAGAUUGCACAGGAAGGCACCCUAGUUGCACAGGGAGGCAUCCCUAGUUGCACAGAACUAACACCAAAAACUGACUUACAAAUUUGGCUAGUGGCUAUGAUAAAUUGCACAGAAACGGCGCCCUAGUUGCACAAAAAAACAGAUUGACUACACAUAGCAAUUCCCCCUCUCAAAAUCAGCAAAAAUCAUGUGAAAAGCCGCUGGGGCUAGUGCUCUACCUUCCCCUAGCAGAUGAACUACAGAUCCAUGGAUGUUAAUCCAGAGGGACGAACCUGGUUGGGGAUCUGAAGAUUCUCUGACUAUGUGUUCAUCAUGGUCGUGAGGGGGCUGGAUCUGGUUGGGGAAGGAGCAACGAGACAGGUUGUCGAUGAUGCUGUGGUGGCCUGGACCGUCGUUCUUGGCCGCGCCGCACAGGCCGCCCUCUACGGCAGCCGCUCCGUCGUCCUUGGCCCAGCCAUCUGUAGCAGCAGCAACGUCGACUAUGGCGAGGAAGGGAAGGAGCAGGCGGGCGCCAUGGGGAGGAAGGGGAAGAGCAGGGCAGAGCCAUGGGAAGGAAGGGAAGGAGAGCAGCAGGGGGCGCCAUGGGGAGGAAGGGAAGGAGAGCAGCAGGGCGGCGCCAUGGGAAGGAAGGGAAGGAGAGCAGCAGGGCGGCGCCAUGGGGAAGGAAGGCGAGAAGCAGGGGCAGCGCCGCAGGAGGGAAUCAGUCGAGAAAAAAGGACGAGAGAGUAAUCGCGUGUCGCGUAGCGAGUGUCUCCCCCGACCAAGUAGCACCUGCAGGUGGGACAACACCGAGAGAUCGUGCGGCUAGGAGCCGGCCGCUCGGUCUUGCCAAAUAGUGCGCGUGCACUUUUAAGAUUUUAGGAAAAAGAAAACAAUACGAAGGACCGCGGCAAGAGGCCAAGCGAUCAAGCUGGCAGUAACCAACAGGUAACACGUUCAUGAAAUUCUUUUUUUAGGAUGGAUAAGAAGACGCACUUGAACUCUGUAUUUUAUAAACAAUGGACUCUGUUUUUAGAAGGAUGUAAGAAACCAGCGUAAGAGAAAGGAAACUGAGAGGCCGGCGUAGGCACUAUUGGCCAUGGCACAUAAAAAUAUGUCUAAGACAAAUAUCUAAACUUACGUUGGCAUUGGAAAGUACGGCUGUAACUCCCGUGAAAAAAACAAGGCCGCCAGAUAGCUAAAACAGGUACGGCUGACAUAUAAAGGAGUCCGAGCGCCAAGCAAAAAAAAGAGUCCAACCAAAAUACGUAUACAAAUAUAUCUUAUGAUGUCAAAAUACGUGAACAUCUACGUGUCAAAUUUUUUUCUAUUCUCACAUUUUUUUAAGGAUGCCGAUAAGUGCCACACGUGUGGGCGUUAGGGAGGCUGCCCACACAUUUUGUGUGGUGUAUAAAAGGAACAGCCCACACACCACGUGUGGGCAAAAAAAGUAAUGCCCACACACCUCUUUUUCCCCUCCCGAUCCCUCUCACACGCGUGUGUGUGGGCGAAAUAGAUAACGCCCACACGCCCCGUACGUCAGGCCUCGUACCUCGUGGUCCCGCACGCCCGCGUGACAGUCACCGUGCAUCCCGCAGUUGCCAUGGUUCAGACCCUCGUCCAUGUUCGUUUAACUGCAGUUGCCAUGUCGCUGAACUUCGGUUGCCAUGUCGUACAACUACAGUUGCCAUGGUUGCUCAACUGCAGUUGCCAUGUAUGGUCUGAUCUACUGCAGUUGCCAUGAUUUUCAAAACUUUAAGAGUUGCCAUCCAUUAAACACUAGGCAGUUGCCAUGUAGCACUACAAAAAGGCAUGGCAAAAAAAUAUGUUUGGGUAAAAGAGAGAGUUGUCAUGUGCUCACAAGCAUGCUAGGGCAGUUGCCAUGUAAAAGAAAGAGUUGACAUCUACUUACAUGCACGCUACGGCAGUUGCCAUGUACCAUGCAAAAACACAUGGCAACUCGGGUAAAAAGCGUUGUCAUCUGCUUACAAGCAAAGCUAGGGCAGUUGCCAUAUACCUGCAGAAACACAUGGCAACUGCCAGCUUUGGGUGUGGGCUAGGAGACGGGCGUGUGAGCGAAGUGAUAAACGCCCACACACCAGCCCCCUCUGCGUGCGUGAAAUUAGUGUCUGGGCGAGUUGCUAAACGCCCACACACCAGCCACCCGUGUGGUGAAAAAAGAACGUGUGGACGACCGGAUGAAUGCCCACACACCAGCUUAGUCCUAUGUGGCACACAAAAACUGCUAGAACGCGCCAAGAUUCGUGCAUAAUUGGUUGGACGAGGAUCCAUGCGUGUGGGCGAGUUGCCAGACGCCCACACGUGUGGGUGUUAACAUUUUCGUUUUUUAAAAUGAAUAUAAAGUGUGUUCUAAUUGUAAUGGCUGAUAGUAUAAAGUAAAAUUUGUUAAUUAGAAAUAGUCAUGAAGACCACAUGAAAUCAUAUACAAUAUAUUACUAAAAGAAAUACGUCAUCCUUAUCUACAGUAUAUACUAGAUGGAUAGAUAAAAAAUUUGAUCAAGUUUUUCUUAAGCUAAAUCCGAUCAACUGAACACCGCCAUGGAUUCUAAAAAAAAGAUGCGGAACUACAGCCAACAAAUGUAGAUCAUAGAUGUGUUUAAAAAAACAUAGACUAUAUGGAUCCCUAAAGAAACGUAUACUUGAUGGAGAUCCGUCUAUCUUAGGAAAGCCACCAAUUGGGAUCCACGUAAAAUUGGCAGUUAAGGAUCCACAUGGGAUGCACCAUGUACAGCAGGACUAUUUGCGCAAUAGAAACUGAAAAAGAUAAUAAAUUUGAUACACAUACGGUCACUUUUUUUUCUACAUAUGCCAUGGUGCUGCUUCCCCUACAUCAAUUGAUGUGCACCACGACGUCUAGAGUUUGUGGACGACCAGGAGAAGCACCCGCAUCAAAGGAUCUUCUAUAGCAACUACAAAUCCGUCAAGUGGAUUUGAAGUUGGCCGCAACCACUGCAACAACCCGCAUAAAUUAUGUGAUGAGCUUGAGAAAUGACGAUGAUUUCAAGCUGGUAGAGCAGACAAACGCGCAAGGUGUCUGAAGUCUGCGACAAAGCUAUGGUUACAGAAGGCCAUGAUUUGGGGUCCUCGAGUCAAAGGCAAGGUACAUGGAGAGUCUGAUAUGGUGCUAUCGAUAUUGCUAGAGGUGACAAUGUCAGAAGGCCAUAAGGAUAAUGGUGGGUGACCACAAAGACGACAAACAGAGGCGCGGAUUUGGCAUCACACGGUGUGACUUUGGUUUACGUGGGCUAAUUUUCAAUGAGACGCCUCGACACAACUUUAGAGUCAAGUCUCAGAAAACAAAAUUGUUCGAACUGACUGCACAAGGUUUCAGGUCGGUCCACAUAGAUUAUGCCCUCUCCUCAUGCAUCCACAUGAUCCAAUGAAUGCAGGCGCAUGCAAGAGGCUGUAGAUAGUACUCCAAGAGGUUGUAAGGAGUACAUCAUAUGAAGACAUAGUAAUUACUUUCAGGUAUGAAAAAUCAUUCCACGGGACAAAUAAUAAGGAUGAUAGAAGCAAUAUGACGAAAUAUAUCUAUCUAUGAGGUAAGAUAAUAUUGUAGUAAACGAUUGACAGGAAAAAAUGCACCACACUUGAUAGUCCACGUCUAGCAAUAAAAUAGACACCUAACAUGGCAUGUGAUAGGAGGUUAAGGCAUACUCCCUCCGUAUUUGUUUACAGAGGGAGUACAACAGAAGAAAAACUCUGGUAAGCACCCAACUACCGUGCGGAAGCCAUAAUAAUAUGUACAUCAACUACUAAUUUUGGCUGACUAUAUAUCACUUAUAAUAUUAAAAUCAUCAAUAGAAAAAGAAGGCUUGAUCCAAGUUCUAAGAGGACCAUUUUAUAGAUUUUAUAUUAACAUGACAAGUCUACAUGUUCAUCGAGAUAAGAUGAAAAAUUUUGCACCGUUGAUUUUUGUCCAAGGUUAUAUCGGUGUAGAAGAGUCGAAAUGUGUAUAAAACUCCUUAGUACAUAGUAUAAGUAUAUAUAUUUCUUUUUAGGUAAAUAUACUUAAGAUUUGCUGUAUGAAAUAUUCAGAAUAAGGCAUAAAAAGAAUUGGCAUAACUAUUUGUAUUUUAACUCCAUAUGAAUCUAUAAAUAGAUAAAUUUCAAAAUAGUCAUAUAUAUUAUAUAUAAUUAGUAAUUGUGGUCCAGAGAGUAUUGAAAAAUAUUCAAAAAUACAAGUUGAUACAGCACAAUACAACAUGAGCAAUAUGAUUACAAGGAGUGGAUCGAAGUGGGCAAAUAGGAAGGUUGAUAUGUUAUACAAGUCCAGAGGGCAUUUCAUCGGCAAACUAUAAUGCAAUCGAUCAGACAUAUGUAUAUCAUAUAGUUAGUGGAAAACGAAAUCAGGUGAUACCCGAUCAAAACGCCAUAUAAAUGGUAGAGAAACAAAUCAUAGACAAAGAAUCUAUAUAGUCAACCUAGCCGCGCAAAUGCGGGCCACACCAUUAGUUAAUUAGUGAUACUACAUGUGUAGGCUAUAGAAAAGGUAGAAUCACCUAGGCAUCAGUUGAUAUUUGCUUCUUUUUGUUACCGGGAAUGCCUUGCACCUAUUGUACCCAUGAGGAAAGGAAUUGUCUGCAAGCUCAAUUAUCCUCUGAAACAAAGAAAAGGAAAGAGAGCGAGGACUAUCUAUUUGAUUUAGUACAACUUUGUACUAAAUCAACGACAACUAAUAUAAAAUAGAGGGGUACGAUGUAUCAUCCCAUAGUGGAUAAUUUUCGAAGUUGCAUGAGUGACGCGAUCAACUGCCUAAUGGUGCCUUGUGCAUGGAAUUUGCAAAGCUAAAGAAACACCCCAUGAUCACUGUGAUGAAAAGAACUCCAAACACAACGAGCGUGGAAAGCAGAAUGCCCGCGUAGGCUGACGAUGCCUUGGCCGCGCACACAAGGCUCACUGUCAAGGUAACCACUGGAACUUUUGUGUGUGUGUGUGUGUGUGUGUAAGCACGGUGCUCACCUGAUCUCCGGUUCUUGCGAAUUAAAGUUGGCCGCUAGGAAGAAUGGAAUGAGCGCAGGUCUGGCAUUGGCCAUCGGGUAACUCGUAAGAGGCACUCGGGUAGCCAGGCUGACUUGCCUGUGGAACCUCUCGGGUGCCCCGAGAGCUCGAUCGCCUCCCAGUAGGUCCACAGGCAAAUCAUCCUUGGCUACCGAAGAUGGCCGCUUACCUCCAUGCAAGAACUCACACAUGUGUCAUGUGAACUGCUUGGUGCACUCAGAAUGAACUGACUACCAAGGAUGGUGCCUGCAUGCCCUGCCCCUGGCCAUGUAUUUAUAAGAAGGCCGGGGAGGCAGAUCAGGGGCGACUUCGGUGAGGCCGCAUCAUGUUUGAUACAGGUGAGUAGAAUCUUGGCCUUUGACAAGGGCGAAAGGUGUCGAUCAACCAGAGCAAGUAACCACCACCGGACCACACACACUGCAUGCCGGACUGAAGAUCUAUCUCGUUUCCUUUCCGGAGAGCAUCCAGGGAUUUGGAUCUUGAUCACGUUUGUUCAGGUCGGUUCGGUUGACCAGUACGUGCGCGCGUGUGGUCUUUCCAGUUGGGUUCCACUCGCUUGACCUGCCGACAUGGAAUUCGUGCACGUGGAGCAGAAGAACAUUGCCGUCCGGAUCGGGCGGUGGUCAGAAUAAUAAGGUUAAGGGUAAAUGUUGUGGUGCUGGGUGGAAAAGGAUGUGGUGACGAAGAAGAGAUCGAGCCGGGAUUCGGACACUGGACCUGGUCGCCUCCUGCCUGGCUCCAUGCACGUCCCCGACUGGUCCAACGCCGGUGUUGGUGCGCAGCCUCCUGCCUGCAGUACGCAGAUAUUGGAGUGGUGCAACACAAAGCAUGCUCGGACCAGGAUGGAGACACAAUGCACACAAUUCUGAAGAUGCAGAAAAAGCACUUUGGGGAAAAUGGUGCUGCGGCCAUGGGAGGUCAUCGGCCAGGGUAAGCAGCGACAGAAUCCUUUCCGAGAAUCACAUCAAGGAGACCAACAAGAUGGGGGAAAACAUAAUGUCUAAUUAUUUUAUUUUAUUUUUUUUCAAAACUGAGGCAAAAGAUUUACCUCAUCGAUUAAUUAAAAAAAGAGAAUUGUCCGGUUAAUUAACGAAAAAUCAGACGAAAACCGAUACAUACAGAUCAAAUGCGGACUACUCGCUAAAAAAGAAACUCCAUGACCCCACAGUCAACCCGACAAACAUAUAUAACACGCAACAACCACGAACCCUAGCACUUCUAUGUCGCAAAGAAACCCUCAACAAAACGAGCCAACCGAAGAUGAAGGACAAAGAGAGUGAGUAUCCUCCAUUAAGCAAUCGCGGACGCCUUAUCAAUGGCACCACUCUUCUUGCCUAUACUCCUGACAGUCUUCUUCACCUUCUUUAUUUUGCCUGUAAAAACCUCAUCCACUAGGAGACAAGCAAUCACAUCGCGAGACCCAUGACAAACUGCAGCCAAGGAGGCGAGCAAGCGGCCAAGCUUUUUCACAAAGGUCGUCUCGUCAAUACGUGCCAACAUAGCGUCACGGUCAAAGGUGGGCAACCGAAUGAGCUUCAGCGCCUCAAAAUUAGCUGCCAAACCACCUAUCUCAUCAACCUCGGCACCCACAAACGCCACCUGGGCAACAACCUCAGGUGAGAGAGCAAUAGCAGCGUCCAAACCUUCACGGUCACAAAGGCGAGCGGCUGACUGGACUCCAACGACGACGGUAAGGUCGCAGUCAGCAUCGCCAAGUGUCGUCCAAGCGAUCCCAUCUCCUUAGGAAGCACCAUUGAAAUAGGUGAAGUGGGCUCCCCACAAAGCUUCUGUAGCUCAGGCAUAAUCUGCAGCACCGGAGUCACGACCUCGACAACGACUUCACGCCCAGAAGUAAUCGACAUGACAGGCAACGACAACCGACAUGAUCUAGCACGAGGGGAGAGAUCUCCAUACAUGCAUGCUUCCCCAUCGGCAGAAUCAACCAAGAUCUCGAACGACAGGGACACAUCGGAGGCAACCUCAAUCUGAAGCUCAGGCAGCGAAGACACAUCCGGCACCACCUCUAGUUUGGCGAGAGCGACCUCCGCCCUCACUAAAACACACCCGACUCGCGCAAGGCAAUCACGAAGCUCAGUGAGAAGCACCUUGGUCCCCUCCGCCAACCCGACUCGCUGAGCCGAGACAAACUGGAACUGUGCGUUUGUCAUGGAGACAUCACCGGUGGAUGCAGGCGGUGGAGCAUAACACUAGGGCGGCGAAGCUUGGUGGACAGGCUUCUUAGCACAGCAGAAGUGGGCGAUGUGACUAGAUCAAAGGCAGUUCAUACACCGGAUUGGAUCCUUGUAAGAGUGUGCAUAGUGACCUCAACAGAGGCAUCGGAAACACUCUCUCAGCCACGCCAGAGGAGGACGCCGCAUAUUGAUAGCUGGCGAUGAAAAGCAACGGGAGUCGAGCGUCGCCCCCUUGAGACAAGCUGCCAUCCCCCCAAUGCAUUCCAGCUUGGUGCUUGACACACAGGGGCUGUCGGCGACGCCUCACGGUCGAAACAUCCUCUCCAAUUUCACAAACCUAGACGCACCAGAGGCGCCUGCAUGACGUGCACAUCGCCCGCAACAAUAGCGUGGGCCAUCAGAGGGAGCUCCUCGAAGGCUGUUGUCUCCGGUAGCAACAACGGCCCGGCGCGGUAGGCGUCGGAGUUGCCAAGACCAGAUCAAAGCUCGCCAGCAUCUCGGUCGUGGCAAUGUCCAAAAAAUACAUUCACUCGGCGAACAAUAAAACAUGAUGAUUAUAUGAAAAUGUUUGCUUUCACCCCAUGCGUUUCCAUGCUGCCGCCUGCCUCCUCUCCCAUCUCUCUUUGCUUCCUCUAUGGCUUCGAUCUCGCCUGUUCUCGCCGUGGACGCAACGACAACACUAUACGAGGAUGAGCUUGGUGCUGCAACCAGGUUGCAAACUGCUACAAGUGGAUGAUGCAGGCAGUGUUUGAUGUUGCAAGACAACCACUGGUGUGCUUCUAUCAGCUGCAAAAGAGGACUGCUGUUGCGAGGGGCUAAGAGCAUUACUAGUAGAACCCUCAAACCCUCGAACCCUCUCUAGCGUUUUAAGGGUCCAAAAAUGAUCCUUUUGUGCACUUUUACGGAUUGAAAAACAGGGGCAAAGAUUAGAACCCUCAAACCCAACCCUUAUAACGGAAUAUUCCCCAUGAACGACGUUGUCGUUGCGCGCGGGAGGUCAACGGGGCGGCCGCCGGCGACUAGCAGCGGCGGUCACGGGCGUGGGCGGGGGAGUUAGGAGGAUUUUCCCUCCCGCGCGAGUAUAACCGCCAAAUAAGGGUUGGGGUAGGUUUUGCUCCCCAACCCUUACUUUUGAGGAUUGGGAGAGGGUUUGCGGGUUGGACCUUUAAAAAAAUUUGAGGGUUUGAGGAUUAAGGGGUUCUAGUCUACGGCUUUUUUUCGACGAAAACUGUAAAAAAGCAGUUAUUUUUAGGGAUUUGAGGGUUUGAGGGCUCUACUAGUAAUGCUCUAACAACCGACGCUGCUGUGAGGCCUUAAAACCUGAGGAGAGGAAGGUAGCUGCUGUAGCUUUUCAGAUUGAGGAUGAUGCUAGACUAAAGGCGGAAAAUGGCCGCAUGGUAAAGGAGGCUGCUGCAAAGGAAGCUUCGGUGUUGCAGUUGUGGAGUUCAAACGAGCAGCUGAGCUUGCGAGAGGAAGAAGAUUACAUAAGUUGCAUCAAACAGCUGCAAAGUCCGCUGUUUUUAGCAGUCCGCCAGCUCACAGCUGGCGCUGGCCAUGAUACAUCAACAUAAAUGGAUAAAUGAGGAUUUAGUAACUAGCAUAGAAAUAAAAACCCACCCAGAGAUGAUUUGGAAGCACAAAGGACCAAGAAACAACAUCUAAAAAACAAGUUGAAAUAUAGUAUAACUUCAAUAUUAAUCUGAAACUUAUGCCACAGAAAUAGAAAAUGAGGCCAUCCUAUGUGUCGUUCAAAAAAUGUAUAUUCACAUAGAAACACCAAAACCACCAGCAAUGUAGUGCUUUCUGGUCACAAAAACUAACAAAGUUAAGAUAUAGCAACUUUAAUCAAAUAUACCUAGACCAUUGUAAGAUAGAUAUUAACCGUGAUACAUUCCCAUGCGUAACCAUUGCAUAAGCAUGACUACACAAAGAGCACUGUAUCUGAAAGCAAUUGAAGCAUUCCUAGACUAUUAGAAGCCAUACAAUAAUGCGAAACACGACUCCCAGUGAUAGGCUGAUAGCACCAGGGGGCUCAUAGCUUACUUGUCAACUACUCACUCCAUUCACUAUUAUAAGAGAUGUUCUAUCUUUUAUCUGAACCAGAUGUAUAUACACAUUUUAGUGUUUUUGUUGAUUCAUCGACUCAUUCCAAUCCAUAUGCAGUCCAUAUUGAAAUACCUAAAUGGUCUUAUAAUGGUGAAAGAGGGAGUACCAGCUAAGACAGAAAUAUAACUCCCCACUGUGUUGGCCACUAUGGAAUCACAUGAAUCCUCUUACUGAACAAUCAAAUGUCAAACACACACUACAACAGGGCAAUGACAAAGGUGUAUUGAUUUGAUUUAAAUUGUGGUCCACAACUCAAAUCAAAUCAAUACACAAGAAACGGAUUCAAACAAUGGGUGACCAGGCAGAGCCCCAAAAUUGAAUUGUCAUAUGUACUCAUCUUCCAUCAUUUGAUUACUUAUAAAGAGCACAACACAAGCAAACCUUCCCAAACAGCUUCGCCUCCCCCUGAGGUCAUACAUAACCCCCAUCCCCCUCAAAUCGCCAUCACAACGAGGGCGCAUAAGAAAAUUGGACCUUGUUCAAACAAGUAUCAGCAGUAGCUACUAAAGAAACGUUUUAUAUGUAGCAAACCACAAACAUUAAACUACUUAUAUAAUGACAGGUAUCACCACUAAAAACAACUAAAUCAUCCAAAACCUAAUUGUAAAGAAAACAAAACAUACAGAAUACCUAACUAUGUGCAUAAAUAGUCAUGCACAAAGGAAAUACAAAUGGCGAAAAGGUCAUUGAUAAAUCAAGGUUUUGGUAGAACUACAAAGGGCAAUCUCCUACCAAGCAAAAGGAAAACAUCAAAGCUUAAAACCAUACUGAACAAGUAAAGCAACCACACAAGAGGCAAAUAAUUGUAGAACAUUGAAUCAACCUACAUAUCUGGUUUCAUAUGGAAGAUCCAAUUGUGCAGGAUACUAGGCAAGUCACCCAGGAAUUACACAUGCCUACAACAGGUAUUCUACACUAACCACAAUACAACUAUCCCCUACCAAGCAACCAGUUAACAAUUCUACAAACAAAUGAACAGCUUAAAGCCAAACCGCUACACGAGAAAUUCAUUCAAAAUGCAGGUAGGUAACCAUACUAGGGUACCGAAGGAUUUCAACUGGUCAGGCCAUUUCAACUCGGGCAAAAUACAGAGCUUAAGCAGGAUAAAAGCUGUUCCAUAAUCAGCAAAAUAUGAUGGUAUCCCAGGUAGGCUACAAGCAGUAAAUAAUAAUAUCUCUCAACACAAGCGAAAUCUUAAUCUUAAAACAGGCAUCCCGGAGUCACAUGCUAGCUUGCAAAAACAACGAGACGCCAUAAACCCUAGGUACCCUAGACCCUUCUCCCGUCGGCGGCAACGGGCGUCAUCAUCGUCAUCCCCGGCUUA